CAGGUCAGAGAAGACUACCCGCUGGACUUAAGCAUAUCACUAAGCGGAGGAAAAGAAACUAACUAGGAUUCCCCCAGUAACUGCGAGUGAAGAGGGAAGAGCUCAUCAUUGGAAUCUGGCAGUGUUACACUGUCCGAGUUGUAGAUGAGGAGUAGUCCGUCUGGACUGCAUGGCGUCCAAGUACAAUAGGCCGUCAGUGGGACAUCAUAGAGGGUGACAAUCCCGUCCUUGACGCCAAUGUGCAAGUCUAUUACGAUGGCUAUCUCAGAGAGUCGAGCAGUUUGGGAUUUGCUGCUUAAACAUGGGAGGUAGAUUCCUUCUAAAGCUAAAUACAGGCGAGAGACCGAUAGAGAACAAGUACCGCAAGGGAAAGAUGAAAUAGCACUCUGUGAAGGGAGUCAAAAGGCGUGAAAUUGUUGCGAGAGAAGCGAUUCAAGUCAGCGUAGCUAGGCCCAUCAAGCGUCUUCGCUUUGGACUAGCUUUGCCAGCGGUCUUGUCCCUUAAAGAGACUUGACUUGUAAUAUGUCCAGCCUGGCGUGCACAGGCAGCCCCUUCUGGGGGCCAGUGGCAUGGCUGGUGGAAUGGCUUGCAAUCGACCCGUCUUGAAACACGGACCAAGGAGUCUAACAUGUAUGCGAGUAUAAGGGUGGCAAACCCGUAUGCGCAAUGAAAGUGAUUUUCGGUGAUUGAGAAUGGCCUGAUGACCAGACAAGCAAUAUAUGUCCCUCGUACGGCCAUUGCCCAAGUUCCGUGGUAGAUCCCACGAACAUGGAGUUGGAGCAUACAUGCUAGGACCCGAAAGAUGGUGAACUAUGCCUGGACAAAGCGAAGCCAAAGGAAACUCUGGUGGAGGCUUGUAGCGAUUCUGACGUGCAAAUCGAUCGUCUGAUCUGGGUAUAGGGGCGAAAGACUAAUCGAACCAUCUCAUAGCUGGUUCCUGCCGAAGUUUCCCCUCAGGAUA
RNAcentral lists this ribosomal RNA (961 nucleotides) under Cantharellus enelensis. RNAcentral's name for it is "eukaryotic LSU rRNA". It matches the Rfam family "Eukaryotic large subunit ribosomal RNA", at positions 1 to 980 of the family's 3401-position model. The record is from RNAcentral. Lineage: Eukaryota; Fungi; Basidiomycota; Agaricomycetes; Cantharellales; Hydnaceae.